UACAUGGGGUGCAAACGUUGCUCGGAAUCAUUGGGCGUAAAGCGCGCGUAGGCGGUUACUUAAGUCGAAUGUGAAAGCCCUCGGCUUAACCGAGGAAGUGCAUCCGAAACUGAGUAGCUAGAGUACGAAAGAGGGUCGCGGAAUUCCCGGUGUAGAGGUGAAAUUCGUAGAUAUCGGGAGGAACACCGGUGGCGAAGGCGGCAUCCUGGACCGAGAUUGACACUGAUGAGCGAAAGCUAGGGGAGCAAACGGG
This 253-nucleotide ribosomal RNA is filed under the name uncultured bacterium. Its description in RNAcentral is "partial 16S ribosomal RNA". It matches the Rfam family "Bacterial small subunit ribosomal RNA", at positions 524 to 776 of the family's 1533-position model. The record is from RNAcentral.